GGGAACAUGGCGCAGUCGGUAGCGCGUUAGCCUGUCAAGCUAAAGGGCGCGGGUUCAAGUCCCGUUGCUCCC
RNAcentral lists this transfer RNA (72 nucleotides) under Bracteacoccus minor. RNAcentral describes it as "tRNA-Asp". It matches the Rfam family "tRNA". From Rfam's summary of the family: Transfer RNA (tRNA) molecules are approximately 80 nucleotides in length. Their secondary structure includes four short double-helical elements and three loops (D, anti-codon, and T loops). RNAcentral also lists the same sequence under 1 other name. Lineage: Eukaryota; Viridiplantae; Chlorophyta; Chlorophyceae; Sphaeropleales; Bracteacoccaceae. The record is from RNAcentral.